This 484-nucleotide ribosomal RNA is filed under the name uncultured bacterium. RNAcentral's name for it is "partial 16S ribosomal RNA". It matches the Rfam family "Bacterial small subunit ribosomal RNA", at positions 30 to 507 of the family's 1533-position model. The record is from RNAcentral.
AUUGAACGCUGGCGGCAGGCCUAACACAUGCAAGUCGAGCGGAUGAAGGGAGCUUGCUCCUGGAUUCAGCGGCGGACGGGUGAGUAAUGCCUAGGAAUCUGCCUGGUAGUGGGGGAUAACGUCCGGAAACGGGCGCUAAUACCGCAUACGUCCUGAGGGAGAAAGUGGGGGAUCUUCGGACCUCACGCUAUCAGAUGAGCCUAGGUCGGAUUAGCUAGUUGGUGGGGUAAAGGCAUACCAAGGCGACGAUCCGUAACUGGUCUGAGAGGAUGAUCAGUCACACUGGAACUGAGACACGGUCCAGACUCCUACGGGAGGCAGCAGUGGGGAAUAUUGGACAAAGGGCGAAAGCCUGAUCCAGCCAUGCCGCGUGUGUGAAGAAGGUCUUCGGAUUGUAAAGCACUUUAAGUUGGGAGGAAGGGCAGUAAGUUAAUACCUUGCUGUUUUGACGUUACCAACAGAAUAAGCACCGGCUAACUUCGUG